UACGUAGGGUGCGAGCGUUAAUCGGAAUUACUGGGCGUAAAGCGUGCGCAGGCGGUUUGUUAAGACAGAUGUGAAAUCCCCGGGCUUAACCUGGGAACUGCAUUUGUGACUGGCAAGCUAGAGUAUGGCAGAGGGGGGUAGAAUUCCACAUGUAGCAGUGAAAUGCGUAGAGAUGUGGAGGAAUACCGAUGGCGAAGGCAGCCCCCUGGGCCAAUACUGACGCUCAUGCACGAAAGCGUGGGGAGCAAACAGG
This 253-nucleotide ribosomal RNA is filed under the name uncultured bacterium. RNAcentral's name for it is "partial 16S ribosomal RNA". It matches the Rfam family "Bacterial small subunit ribosomal RNA", at positions 524 to 776 of the family's 1533-position model. The record is from RNAcentral.